CCGUAGCCCAAGAGAUCGGGAUAACACCUGGAAACAGAUGCUAAUACCGGAUAACAACAGAUGAUGCCUAUCAACUGUUUAAAAGAUGGUUCUGCUAUCACUCUUGGAUGGACCUGCGGUGCAUUAGCUAGUUGGUAGGGUAACGGCCUACCAAAGCGAUGAUGCAUAGCCGAGUUGAGAGACUGAUCGGCCACAUUGGGACUGAGACACGGCCCAAACUCCUACGGGAGGCAGCAGCA
Molecule: ribosomal RNA, 239 nt
Filed under: uncultured Lactobacillus sp.
Lineage: Bacteria; Bacillati; Bacillota; Bacilli; Lactobacillales; Lactobacillaceae
Description: partial 16S ribosomal RNA
Rfam family: Bacterial small subunit ribosomal RNA
Source: RNAcentral